Molecule: non-coding RNA, 75 nt
Filed under: Streptococcus pyogenes MGAS8232
Lineage: Bacteria; Bacillati; Bacillota; Bacilli; Lactobacillales; Streptococcaceae
Source: RNAcentral
UGGUCUGUGUGAAAAAGAUAAAUCCUCCUUGAGUGUAAACACGCUACGUCAGAUUUCCUAUUUUCACUUUGUCCA